This 506-nucleotide ribosomal RNA is filed under the name uncultured bacterium. RNAcentral's name for it is "bacterial SSU rRNA". It matches the Rfam family "Bacterial small subunit ribosomal RNA", at positions 28 to 517 of the family's 1533-position model. The record is from RNAcentral.
GACGAACGCUGGCGGCGUGCCUAACACAUGCAAGUCGAACGGGGAAAGAACGCUGAAUUGAUGGUAGCUUGCUACCGGAUUUUCUUGUUUUUUCCUAGUGGCGGACGGGUGAGUAACGCGUGAGUAACCUGCCUUACAGAGGGGGACAACAGUUGGAAACGACUGCUAAUACCGCAUAACGUAGCGAGAGGGCAUCCUCUUGUUACCAAAGGAGCAAUCCGCUGUAAGAUGGACUCGCGUCCAAUUAGAUAGUUGGUGGGGUAACGGCCCACCAAGUCGACGAUUGGUAGCCGGACUGAGAGGUUGAACGGCCACAUUGGGACUGAGACACGGCCCAGACUCCUACGGGAGGCAGCAGUGGGGGAUAUUGCACAAUGGGGGAAACCCUGAUGCAGCAACGCCGCGUGAAGGAAGAAGGUCUUCGGAUUGUAAACUUCUGUUUUUAGUGAAGAAACAAAUGACGGUAGCUAAAGAGGAAGCCACGGCUAACUACGUGCCAGCAGCCG